This 206-nucleotide ribosomal RNA is filed under the name uncultured bacterium. Its description in RNAcentral is "partial 16S ribosomal RNA". It matches the Rfam family "Bacterial small subunit ribosomal RNA", at positions 524 to 729 of the family's 1533-position model. The record is from RNAcentral.
UACGGAGGGUGCAAGCGUUAUCCGGAUUCACUGGGCGUAAAGGGUGCGUAGGCGGUCGGGUAAGUCUGAUGUGAAAUCUCACAGCUUAACUGUGAAACUGCAUUGGAUACUAUUCGGCUUGAGAGUUGGAGGGGGGACUGGAAUUCUUGGUGUAGCAGUGAAAUGCGUAGAGAUCGGGAGGAACACCCGUGGCGAAGGCGGCACUC